Long non-coding RNA from Coturnix japonica (Japanese quail), 1777 nucleotides. RefSeq lists it as uncharacterized. NCBI's taxonomy places the organism in Eukaryota, Metazoa, Chordata, Aves, Galliformes, Phasianidae. The record is from RefSeq and is a predicted model, not a curated record.
GGCUGACUGCCACUGGGGAAGGGUUUCUUUCUGGAGAUCCUUACCUUUGCAGUUUUUCUGAGAGCCUAAGGUACAGAGCUGGUAAUGCCUGUUCCUGAAGGGUUGUGGUUCGGCUUGGGGCAUUGAACAGCAUCUCGAGAGGACAAAUUAAGGAAGAGGCUGCUCUGAGGUUGUACCAGACCUGGAAAGUAAUUAUGCACCAGCUUCUUGGAAAGGAGAUGUAAUACCAGACCUUGCAACCUCACAAUCUGUGAUUAUAUCACCAGCUGGGACACGUGCUGGAGAGGAAUUAGAUGAACUGGAUGAUAACAUUUUUCCAUUCAGAGGGCGUGUGUGACUCUCCUCAAGGAACAGAAUGCCUGAAAUCAAUGGAUUCCAGGGUAGCUCAGCCUAUGAUAGACUCAAAUGUAUAAUUGCAGCUCUUAAAGUGUAAUGAGGCCCAACCGUACAGUGAAGCAUUUCCAAACAUAUGUAUGCGAUAUGGGAAGAAUCAAGUCCAAAGAUUUGUCUGGUCAUAAACUGCAAAAAGUUAUCUGUAAAAUCUGUAAAAUGUAAAAAAUCUAGGGAACUCUCUAACACAAAACUUCAUUUAUUUUUAUUCACACCCACCAUAUUUCUCCUCAGUUUUUUUCUUUUGCUGUUUUGCUUUGUUUUUAAUUAUAUUUAAAAAAAAAAUAAAAAAAAAAAAGAGAGAGAGAGAGAGUCUUGAAUCCUAUUCUUGGAUUCUUGUACAUAAAUCUGGAGUUGUACUGGACUUUCAAUACUAUUAUGUUCAUCAGUUGCACCAUGAGAAGAGAGCUCCCACAUUCACCAAGGGCUUGUGGAAGAAGGAGAGCAGCAAGGAGAAUGCACAACAGGUACUAAGAUGACAGUUGUGAAAAAGCAGGUCACAUUGGAAAAGUGUUGUACAAUGAGUGAUUCAGGGUAACUGACCAUAAUUUCAAUAGCCAGUUCAGCUGAAUAGGGCUAUAUCCACCAACCAUGCUGUAUGUGUAUGAUAGGUGGGUACUGCCCUCUUUUUAUAUCCUGUCUCCUAAGAACACUAUGUAAUAGAAUGUCUCAGCAGUUGGAGACAAGGCCUAGAAGCCAAUUUCUCUGGACUGCCAGACUGGAUUAGGACAGUGUUUUGGAUGGCAUAAGCUCCUUAUGUCAUUGGAGUAUGUGAUGUCAAGGAUAUCUUACAUUUGAAAAUUAAAAUUGAUAUUUUAAAAAAAAAAACAAAAACAAAAAAAAACACUUAUUUCUCAAAAUUUCUUUUAAACUGUGUUCCAACAAUAACUUAUGCUUUCUGGCAGCAGAAAGUAAGAGUCCACAUCAGCAAACCCAAGUGGUUCUAGAAGGACUGCUAUGCAUUAUUAUUAUUUGAAUAAUUAAUUUAAGUUAUUUCUAUUGUUUGAAAAAGUUUUAACUUCAAAUUGACCAGUCUUCGUGACAUUUCACAAGACUGACAAAGCAGUUCUCUGGGAAUCAUGUGGGUUUUUUCACUAAACUUGCAGCUAGUAAUCCCAUAUGGCUGAAAACCCAAGGAAUUGGAGACCAGAUAUUCCAUGAAGAAUGAUUAAGUGGUCCAUAUAAAUCUCAGACUAAGAAUUUUAAGUAAACAAUAAAAAGACAGAAUAAAGAGAAAGGAGGAAACUAUUUUAGUGAAAUACUACAAUUCUAAUAUCUUCCAUUUCUCUAAAAUCAGCACUCCUCAUUUCAGUGGAAGAAUUUUUGCUUGUUAGUUUUUUUUAGCUGGACACAAUAAAAUUACAGGAAAUUUCAUUCAUGCAGAACA